AUGGAGAGGGUCGUGGUGGUCUCCGAGGACGCCGCCGCCUCGGUCUCCUCCGGCCCGUCCUCCUCCUUCGCGGAAACCAGGGUCAUCUGCCGCGUAUGUCAGAAGCAGUUCGCGCAGUACACUUGUCCACGCUGCAACUCCCGCUACUGCUCGCUUACGUGCUACAAGGGGCAUAGUGUGCAAUGCACUGAGUCAUUUAUGCGUGAGAAUGUUACGGAGGAGCUUAAGCAAAUUCAGCCUGAAGAUGAAUCAAAAAGGAAGAUGCUUGAUAUACUCAGACGGUUCCACUUGGAAGAAGAAAUGGAGUCCAAUGGUGAAGAUGAGUCAAUGUUGUCAGAGGAGCUUAUUCAGAAAGCCAUCUCUGGUGACGAAAUCAAGCUUGAGGACCUCUCUGAUGAUGAAAUCAAACGAUUUCGUCAAGCUCUGGCCUCUGGUGAACUCAGCAAGAUGAUUGAACCAUGGACUCCAUGGUGGAAAAAUCCUUCUGCUCAGUCGAUCUCUCUUAGUCAUGAUGGGACCCAGCUUAUCAGACAAAUAAGUACAGACGAUACUACUUUAUCAGAUCCAAUGACCGCGUCAGAAUCUAUCAUCCAUGAAAUACCAGAAGGGCCAGAAUCUCCUCUCCCAUCACUCAAACAGCUAACCAGGGCAGAGCCAUCUCCUUUGCUCACUGUUCACUUAGUUGAUAUUCUCUACAGUUACUGCUUCACACUUCGCCUCUACAAUGGUGAUUGGCAGUCUGAUCCUUUGGGUGCUUCAACUGUUGCCUUGUCUAUGUCGAAAGUCAUGGGGGACGGCGCUAAACCUGAGACAGUAUCUGAAGCGCUCACGACGUGCAUAGAGGAGACAUGCUCCCCAGCUUACAGGCACACCGGAGGUUUCAGGUUUGCUAUUGGACUUGUGGAUGAUAUCAUCACAAUCCUCUCCUUAGGAGGCAAUGCAGUGGUUUGUGCAUUGUGUGACUUCCACAGGCUCUUCCAAGCUGGUGAGAGCAUCCUCAAGGAAGACAAAAUGGGCGAGACGGAAAAGGCACGGAGCUUCAAAAAGCUCCAUGCCGCGGGUAGGAAGCUGUUCUUCAUGACAUGCUGGGCUCAUGAGCAGCCAAGUGAGGCCUGGCCAUCGUUGGCUCGCAUCGUUGAGGUGCAGAAAGCGGCUUUUGAGGAGCUGGACAGUGGAAGCGGACUGAGGAAGGCAGGUAGAAAGAACAACCCUCAGUCCAAGGUUCUGAUCGAGGAGGUGUAA
RNAcentral lists this ribosomal RNA (1242 nucleotides) under Triticum aestivum (bread wheat). RNAcentral's name for it is "partial small subunit ribosomal RNA". Lineage: Eukaryota; Viridiplantae; Streptophyta; Magnoliopsida; Poales; Poaceae. The record is from RNAcentral.